This 428-nucleotide ribosomal RNA is filed under the name uncultured Treponema sp. Its description in RNAcentral is "bacterial SSU rRNA". It matches the Rfam family "Bacterial small subunit ribosomal RNA", at positions 355 to 780 of the family's 1533-position model. The record is from RNAcentral. Lineage: Bacteria; Pseudomonadati; Spirochaetota; Spirochaetia; Treponematales; Treponemataceae.
UGAGGAAUAUUGGACAAUGGAGGCAACUCUGAUCCAGCCAUGCCGCGUGAAGGACUAAGGCCCUAUGGGCUGUAAACUUCUUUAGACGCAGAGCAAUAAGGGCCACGUGUGGUCCGAUGAGAGUAUGCGUAGAAUAAGCAACGGCUAAUUACGUGCCAGCAGCCGCGGUAACACGUAAGUUGCGAGCGUUGUUCGGAAUUAUUGGGCGUAAAGGGCAUGUAGGCGGUAUUGCAAGCCUGGUGUGAAAGGCAGGGGCUCAACCUCUGGACUGCGCUGGGAACUGCGAUACUAGAGUCGCUGAGGGGCAAUCAGAAUUCCAGGUGUAGGGGUGAAAUCUGUAGAUAUCUGGAAGAAUACCAAUGGCGAAGGCAGGUUGCCAGCAGAUGACUGACGCUGAGGUGCGAAGGUGCGGGGAGCAAACAGGAUUA